Molecule: long non-coding RNA, 209 nt
Filed under: Carica papaya (papaya)
Lineage: Eukaryota; Viridiplantae; Streptophyta; Magnoliopsida; Brassicales; Caricaceae
Description: long non-coding RNA (CPAP_LNC010351)
Source: RNAcentral
GGUCCUGUAGUCGUACCUGUUGUGCGACCCCUAUUACCCUACAUUAUGAAACCAUUAGAUGAGCUAAUAUACAUGCAUUUUUUUGCUAAAUGCAUCGACUACCACGUUACCCUUACUCGGAUGAUAUAAGAUGUUGUAAUCAUAGUCAUUGAGGAGUUCUAUCCAUUUUCUCUGAUGCACAUUUUGAGUGAAUAUGUGUUUCAAGCUCU